CCUACGGGACGCAGCAGUAGGGAAUCUUCCACAAUGGGCGCAAGCCUGAUGGAGCAACGCCGCGUGGGUGAAGAAGGUCUUCGGAUCGUAAAACCCUGUUGUUAGAGAAGAAAGUGCGUGAGAGUAACUGUUCACGUUUCGACGGUAUCUAACCAGAAAGCCACGGCUAACUACGUGCCAGCAGCCGCGGUAAUACGUAGGUGGCAAGCGUUAUCCGGAUUGAUUGGGCGUAAAGGGAACGCAGGCGGUCUUUUAAGUCUGAUGUGAAAGCCUUCGGCUUAACCGGAGUAGUGCAUUGGAAACUGGGAGACUUGAGUGCAGAAGAGGAGAGUAGAACUCCAUGUGUAGCGGUGAAAUGCGUAGAUAUAUGGAAGAACACCAGUGGCGAAAGCGGCUCUCUGGUCUGUAACUGACGCUGAGGUUCGAAAGCGUGGGUAGCAAACAGGAUUAGAUACCCUAGUAGUC
RNAcentral lists this ribosomal RNA (465 nucleotides) under uncultured bacterium. Its description in RNAcentral is "partial 16S ribosomal RNA". It matches the Rfam family "Bacterial small subunit ribosomal RNA", at positions 338 to 795 of the family's 1533-position model. The record is from RNAcentral.